GGCCGGGAUGGGGUGCCGGGUUGGAGGGUGGGACCCCCUGGCAAAAGACGGGGUCCCCUCUUCCCCAAGCGGCAAGCCAUCCCCCUUCCUCCCUUCCCUCCCCCCAGUCUCGGAGAUCAGAGAAGCACCGACUGGGAGGGUGGACCCAUGGGGCCUGCAGUCACUCUGGCCGACCCUUCGACCCUCAAGAACCUCCAUCAGCGCCAGGGAGCCUGGGCCCGGAACUGCCUCUCUGCCCCAGCAGCACCCUCUUGGUGCCCUUCCCUCCCCUUCCUGUGCCCCAAUUUCCAGAGGGUCUGAACACACUGACCCCCAAAGAGAAGCCCUGCAGAGCAGAGACCUCACCCUGAGAAGCCUGCACCCCCUGGACAUCUUGACUCCAUCCUUCAGCAUCCUUUCCCUCACUGUAUCCUGACUGCUUGGACCAUCCUCCUCUCCAGCCUCCACUGAACAACAGAUUGGGAAGGGGAAUUUCACAAGGUUUGAGCGGCAGAGAUGUCCUAGGGCCAGGAAGCUCCACUUUGGGAAGCCAGGACCAUUUUCACCUCCUCUGGGGAUGAGAUUGAGGGAAUCCCGGCCAAGAGGAAACAGAUGCCCCCUCCGCCCCUCCCUGGGCAGCCUGGGAGCACAGCCUCAGCCCAUGCAUCCUGUCUCUCCCGACCAGCCCCUGCUGCCCCACCCUGCUCCAGUGGUUUCCCCAUUACCUGUUACUCUGAUGAAGAGCCCCUCAAGGGUCAAGGGCCAAAGUGAG
This is a long non-coding RNA of Ovis aries (sheep), 751 nucleotides long. Lineage: Eukaryota; Metazoa; Chordata; Mammalia; Artiodactyla; Bovidae. The record is from Ensembl.